Molecule: ribosomal RNA, 452 nt
Filed under: uncultured bacterium
Lineage: Bacteria
Description: bacterial SSU rRNA
Rfam family: Bacterial small subunit ribosomal RNA
Source: RNAcentral
GGGAGGCAGCAGUGGGGAAUAUUGGACAAUGGUCGGAAGACUGAUCCAGCCAUGCCGCGUGAAGGACGAAGGCGCUCAGCGUUGUAAACUUCUUUUGUACAGGAACAAAAGCAUCCAUGCGUGGGUGUCUGAGGGUACUGUAAGAAUAAGCACCGGCUAACUCCGUGCCAGCAGCCGCGGUAAUACGGAGGGUGCAAGCGUUAUCCGGAAUCACUGGGUUUAAAGGGUGCGUAGGCGGUCCGUUAAGUCAGUUGUGAAAUUCCCUCGCUUAACGAGUGGGACUGCGAUUGAUACUGACAGACUUGAAUCAGGUUGAGGUAGGCGGAAUGAGACAUGUAGCGGUGAAAUGCUUAGAUAUGUCUUAGAACACCGAUUGCGAAGGCAGCUUGCUGGACCUGUAUUGACGCUGAGGCACGAAAGCGUGGGGAGCAAACAGGAUUAGAUACCCCGGU